Molecule: ribosomal RNA, 427 nt
Filed under: uncultured bacterium
Lineage: Bacteria
Description: bacterial SSU rRNA
Rfam family: Bacterial small subunit ribosomal RNA
Source: RNAcentral
UGGGGAAUUUUCCGCAAUGGGCGAAAGCCUGACGGAGUGACGCCGCGUGGGGGACGAAGGCCUUCGGGUCGUAAACCCCUGUCAGAGGGAAAGAAGGGUGUCGGCGUGAAUAGCGCCGGCAUCUGACGGUACCUUCAGAGGAAGGGACGGCUAACUCUGUGCCAGCAGCCGCGGUAAUACAGAGGUCCCGAGCGUUGUUCGGAUUCACUGGGCGUAAAGGGUGCGUAGGCGGUCGGGUAAGUCUGAUGUGAAAUCUCACAGCUUAACUGUGAAACUGCAUUGGAUACUAUUCGGCUUGAGGUCUGGAGGGGGGACUGGAAUUCUCGGUGUAGCAGUGAAAUGCGUAGAUAUCGAGAGGAACACCAGUGGCGAAGGCGAGUCCCUGGACAGGUCCUGACGCUGAGGCACGAAAGCUAGGGGAGCAAAC